UCUGUCUACGCAUGUGAUCUCAGGGUCGAUUGCUGAUACACUAGUGAGCAAAUGUCUUUCUAUAACUACCGUUCGAAAGGCAAGGAUUAAAUUAGCUGUUACUCUUAGUUGGCAUAUUGUGUCAUUAAGCAUUAGAGUUUCCAACGUUUUUUUUUUCAAGACUGGCCAGUUUAUGUUAAUGUGGCUGAUCCUUAAUUUCUAAAAUGUUGGUAGUUUCUGUUUCUGACACAAAAAAGGUAGUCUGUAUACUGAUAUUACCAUAUAUUUUCAUUACAUUCUUUGCUUCACUUUAUUAUCCAAAUAAUUUGUGGCUGUAAUGUUAUUACUGAGAACCCACGUGACAGUCUAUUUAUUAACUAUAAAGUUUGGUUUGUUUAGUCAACAACAUCUGCUUGCUAAAUGCUAAAUUAAUUUCAUGAAGAGAUCAAGCAUAUGCAAAUGGACAGUAAACUUUUAUACACACACUUUUCUUUUUAGAUGAAGUAAACAAAUGAUUAAGUUUGAUUGUAUUUUAUAAGCUCAAAAUAUUGUAGAUAUGGUGUCAUGGUGAUGUAAAUAUUCCACUUUACUUUUUGGCAAUAAUUUUCCUUGUUGAGCUCUUUAUUUUGUCAAUUAAUUGGUGUAUAAACUUUUAAAUAUUGCAGAUCAU
This 649-nucleotide unclassified non-coding RNA is filed under the name Hevea brasiliensis (rubber tree). The record is from RNAcentral. Lineage: Eukaryota; Viridiplantae; Streptophyta; Magnoliopsida; Malpighiales; Euphorbiaceae.